This is a ribosomal RNA of Otolemur garnettii (small-eared galago), 121 nucleotides long. Lineage: Eukaryota; Metazoa; Chordata; Mammalia; Primates; Galagidae. The record is from Ensembl.
UUCUACGGCCAUACCACCCUGAACGCGCCCAAUCUCGUCUGAUCUCAGAAGCUAAGCAGGGUCGGGCCUGGUUAGUACUUGGAUGGGAGGAAUGAUUAUAAUAGUAUCUGUUUCAUAGGAU